GUGAGUGUAGCUCAGUCAGGUAGAGCGCCGGAUUGUGGUUCCGGUGGUCGUGGGUUCGAUCCCCAUCACUCACCCCA
RNAcentral lists this transfer RNA (77 nucleotides) under Gammaproteobacteria bacterium. RNAcentral's name for it is "tRNA-His". It matches the Rfam family "tRNA". Rfam says of the family: Transfer RNA (tRNA) molecules are approximately 80 nucleotides in length. Their secondary structure includes four short double-helical elements and three loops (D, anti-codon, and T loops). The record is from RNAcentral. RNAcentral also lists the same sequence under 1 other name. Lineage: Bacteria; Pseudomonadati; Pseudomonadota; Gammaproteobacteria.